This 468-nucleotide ribosomal RNA is filed under the name uncultured bacterium. RNAcentral's name for it is "partial 16S ribosomal RNA". It matches the Rfam family "Bacterial small subunit ribosomal RNA", at positions 28 to 507 of the family's 1533-position model. The record is from RNAcentral.
GACGAACGCUGGCGGCGUGCUUAACACAUGCAAGUCGAACGGAAAGGCCCUGCUUUUGUGGGUUGCUCGGGUGGCAACGGGGUGAGUAACACUUAAGUAUCCUCCCCUUGCCUUUGGGUUAACUUCAGGAAACUGGGGCUAAUCCCGGUUCGGAGCUCCUUCUGCUUGGUGGGUGUUGGAACGUUUCGGCGUUUGGGGAUGGACUCGCGGCUUUUCAGCUUGUUGGUGGGGUAGUGGCUUACCAAGGCUUUGAAGGGUAGCCGGCCUGAGGGGGUGACCGGCCACAUUGGGACUGAGAUACGGCACAGACUCGUACGGGAGGCAGCAGUGGGGAAUAGUGCACAAUGGGCGGAAGCCUGAUGCAGCAACGCCGCGUGAGGGAUGACGGCCUUCGGGUUGUAAACCGCUUUCGCCGGUGACGAAGCGUGAGUGAAGGUAAUGGGUAAAGAAGCACCGGCUAACUACGUG